Scylla paramamosain (green mud crab) is the source of this 2157-nucleotide long non-coding RNA. RefSeq lists it as uncharacterized. The record is from RefSeq and is a predicted model, not a curated record. NCBI's taxonomy places the organism in Eukaryota, Metazoa, Arthropoda, Malacostraca, Decapoda, Portunidae. The transcript is spliced from 5 exons.
CAUCUAUUAUUUAUUUAUACAAUAUAUUUUUGUUAUCUGUGUUAAAGAAAAUGUAAGUUGUGUUCUGUUGGAAUGGGAGAAGUUUGGUACGCUUCUUUGUGGUGUUUUGUUUCACCCACUACCUGUGAACAUGGUCGGCCUGGCGGGUUGUCUAAGCCGGCCCACCAAUGUACUGUGGGUUGUUGUGUUGGGUGGUCCUCUGUGCUACAGGUUAGUUGUGUUUAUUUAUAUACCUUGUGCUGUGAAUUAGUAUACUGUGGUGAAGGUUACAAGCAAAGGAUGUGUUUAGUAGCUAAGGUAAUACAAGUGAUAUUAUUGUUUGCCAGACGGAGAAUGUAGGGACGCCCUGGACUUCAUGUCGGUUGGUGUGUUGGUUGGUCCUCCGUGCUACAGACAGAGUUGUGAGGACGCCCUGGACUGGAUGAUAGUUGGGGUGGUGACAUGUCAGGUGUGCUACGAGGAUUCGAAGAGCGUCAGUGUGGGCCACUGAAGAAUAUCUCGACGAGUUUUCGUCGAGAACAAGCCUUGAUAUCGAGGAAGAUCAGCGAGGACAGUCUUCGAGGAUGAGCACGACUUGAGAGGACGAUCUUCGAGGACAAGGACGACCUGCAAGCACAUUUCAGCGGACGAGGACAAGCUUCGAAAACGAUCUUGGGAAGAAGCCUUGACAGAGAGGAUGACCUGAGAGGAUGAUCUUCGAAGACGAGAACGAUUUGCGGGGACGAGCUUCAAGGGCCAACGGAAGUCACUUCAUGCUGUUAGCCGGCAUAAGAUGGAUGUUAUAGAGCUGGUUCUAUUUUUCAAGGCAGUCACAGCGCGUCAGUCGUGGUGUGAAUAUGGAUGUGGAACUCCUUAUCAGCUUAGUUCGAGAGCGCCCUGCUGUAUAAGAUUCCACAGACCGCAGCCACCGAGAUCGUGAUGCCGUUGCUAGACUGUGGAGAGAGAUUGCUGAUGAAAUGAAAUAUCCAGGUCGCUGGGCGAAGACUACGAUGGGGAACCCUGCAUGCACUGCGAGGUCUCCACGGAGGAACUCCUCGUCCAUUAUCUACUGGACUGCGAAGCAACGGACCCACUAAGGACGCUGGCAGAGAGGAACGGCUACAAAGACAGUAGCAACAGACGGACAUCCACAGCGAGACUAUCGAGGUAUGUAACCAAUGACUACGAGACACUACUGAAAUACACACAUAGGUACGAACCCCCCAGGUAGUGUUCACAGACACAGACAGGGCACAGAGUUAACUCACACUACUGCUUUCGAUCUGUGACGGUCUGUUAUUAGCUGGGGCCCCAAUAGUGUGCGACCAACAUCGGGAAUUAAUUACCAGGGAUCACUGCUGCGGGGUGUAAUACAAUUGUGUGUGGCACAUUGCAAAGUGAAGUACAUAACUGCAGUGGUGUGAUCGGAGCUGGGACCUGACUGACUGAUGUCUCCCUCGAAAGCGCCAGGGAAGGCUGCCGUCCCACAGCCGUAAUAAUGUUUUUUUUUUUUUCUAUCUAUUUAUUUUGUUUGUUCUAUUUUGUUUAUUAUUAUAUUAUUUUAUUUUUCUUAUUUUAUCUAUUCAUUUUUUUCCUUCUUUUCCACAACCUAAAACUUUCCUUCUAUGAUUUGGAGGAGGCAACGAUAACUCAAUGACCCCUUUGCUUUACAGAGGCCUCCUUCCUUUCUCACUCCUACAGUCGCCUCCGUUCCCCUCUCCCUCCCACACCAGCUACACUCUUCGCCGUGGUUCGGAUAAGGCCAAUAUAUAAACAAGGCAGACAAGCCAGGGCAAGGCAGACAGUAUUUUGGCCAGCCAUCGACUCUCAUAUCAAGUCCACCAUAGAUGCCUGUGAGUCAUGAAGUACUACAGCCUAGCUAGCAACAGGAACCUCUUCUCUGAGACGACCACCCAAUGAGACCCUUUGAGUCCGUCUCCGCUGACUUCUUCCACGUUGCAGGGAAGUCAUUCCUCGUCAUAGCGGACAGACAGUCUGGCUGGCCUAUGGUCGUGCCCUGUGGCCCUGACACUACGGCUAUAAGAGUCAUCAAGAUGUUCUGCAGGUACUUCCGCAAAGUUGGCGUUCCCCUCCACCAUUGCACAGAUGAGGAGGCCACCGUUCAACAGCGGCAACUUCCGCAGCUUUAUGGUAGGCUGUGGUGUUCACCACGUGGUU